Long non-coding RNA from Papaver somniferum (opium poppy), 1219 nucleotides. RefSeq lists it as uncharacterized. NCBI's taxonomy places the organism in Eukaryota, Viridiplantae, Streptophyta, Magnoliopsida, Ranunculales, Papaveraceae. The transcript is spliced from 3 exons. The record is from RefSeq and is a predicted model, not a curated record.
AAGAAGAGAAUGGAGAGGCAGCAGAGAAGAUCAGGGGCGAGAGAGAGAGAUCGAGAGCAAAGAAGAUAACAAAGUUUAGAUCGAUAAGAGGUGAAGAGGUGAAGAUAGAUGAGAACUGAAGGUGGUCGUCGUCGAAGCUUUUGAACCCUAGCCAAAAUCAGUCAACAGGGGAAAAACAAGCCUAACUCAUCAGGUUGUAUCUAUUGAUUUUCUAUUCGCAUCACAUUAUAUACAAAAACUACGUACCGCCGCGCCCCUCAUGUAUAAAGAAAGAAAGCAGAACAGAGAAUAGAAGAAAGGAAAAUUGAGGAAGACGCAAACUACGGAGGUCCAUUGGUCAAUCGGUCCAAUUAUGGUGCCCUCAAAAGCUUAUUAUUCACAACAUAAGCUAGUUUGGUUGCGUGACAUGACAGAAAUCAUAAGUCAUCAGGGACCAAACUCAAUUCGAUAUGGCCACCUCUUAGAAUAUGAUAUCAUCACACGAUUCAGAACCUGGCUCGUCACCUUAAAAGGAGCGAAUGGCUUCUCUAAUAAGAGUUUGUUCAUACACUUUCCCAAUAGGAGUUUUUUUUUGAUUCCCAACGUAGUUUUGAGUCCAAAUAUGGUAGGUUUACGGCUUCGGAACUGGAUUUGGAUGUCAACAGAAUCUCAAUCUUGGUAGUUGGCCAUGGUAUUGGUGAAUAUAAAAGAAGUAUUCAUAACGCAGGAGUCACGAACUAGAAGGCUAGCUACAAGUUUGAGGCUUGACAUUCCAAGUUUCAGUAGAUUCUUCUAUAAUAUGUGAUGAAAAUGUAGCUUGGAGGUUGAAAGAUACUGCAGGUGUUUCAUCAUCUUACCUAAGAUGUGGUGAAGCAACAAAAGUGACACAAAAGUGACUCGCUGGUUGGGUUUAUCUAAGAAGUUAGAUGAGGUUUAUGCAUGAAAUUCCAGAAUUAAAGAAUCGGUCUCCUUUAAGAAGUUGGUCAUGGGUGCUAGUAUUGAUAUUAAUAGAGUGGAACACUAGCAAUCUAUCUUAUACUAAUAUAAAAAAAGAAGUAUUUUUUGGUGAAGCUUUGGUCUAACCACUUUCGUAGUUGAAACUUGGGGCAUGUUUAUUGAUACAUGUGUAUCUUCCUCUCCCUGGGAACUAGUGAACCUCAAGACAGAUUGAGGAUAUAAUUGUAAUUUAGGAGGGAUUACUGACUUAAGGCAGCAUUCUUAUAAAAGGAAAAUAAAUUUC